RNAcentral lists this long non-coding RNA (727 nucleotides) under Equus caballus (horse). Its description in RNAcentral is "lncRNA (ENSECAG00000031329.3)". The record is from RNAcentral. Lineage: Eukaryota; Metazoa; Chordata; Mammalia; Perissodactyla; Equidae.
CUCACCCAGCCCAGCUGGGACCCAGCGCAUGGAAGAAGCCAGCAGGGACUGGCGGAUGAUCCAUGGAGUCCCAGGGCAGACUCUAGCUCAGCUGGGGAAUCCUGCAGUCAAGUCUGGACUGAGCAGUUUGCAUUUAAAAGACCUUGUUUUCCCCAGAACCUAAGGCUCAGGGAAACAGACUGGAUUGAACACCUAGGUUUCUCACCAGCUGUGCCAGCGUGGAGAUGUGGAGCUCCGGUUGGCCACCCUGCAGGAGGUUUUGGCCUCAGGAAUUUCAGCAGGAAGGUGCAGCCGCAGCAAGAAAUGCCAUUUGCUCCAGGCUUCCUUCUGCCCACUGGCUCCUCCUCCGCAUCUCUAAGCCCUGAGUGCCCAGGGCUCAGUCGGGACCUCUUCUCUCUGUCUACGCUUGGUUCGGCAGGAAGAAGAGAAUGCUCUCGCCUUCGUCUGGACCUGUAAGCCUUGCUUCAGAGGCUACCUUCUCACAGACCCUCCCAGAUCCCCACUGCAUGGGCACUGAGAGUUUGCACCUGUCUCAUAAGCUCCAGCUGGCCCCGAGCCUGGCUCUCUGCAGCCCCUGUCUUCCCACGAUCUGACUGAGAGUCCACAGGGCCUUCUUGGCGUUGAAAACACGAGGACGUCCCGCCGGGCGUGAAAUCAACGCAGCCAGAACCUCCUGUGAAUUUCAAGGGCUGCGCACUGGGAGCCCUGGACCGUCGCUCUGGCCCCA